UUACCAGGUAUUCUGGGAUUGGGGUAUAAAUCUUAAGGCUCUCUUUGAUGGUCACAGUAGCACCAGAACCCAAGGAGCUCGGAGAAAAUUAAACAUGUGGUUGAGGGCUCUCCUACUUAUCAGUGUAACCUCAAGUUUGGUCAACUCUCACGGGAUCUACCGCGCAGUGAACCCAAGAUUGAUCCCUUGGUGGUUCGCAAGAUUUCCAAACUCCAGAGUUUUGCUCAACAGAGAUUUGUUUAACCAUGUCUAUCGGAAAUUAAUUCUGCGGGAUCCAUACUGGCACAGGCGGAUACAUGCUCAUAGGCACAGGAUUUUCCAUCCUAUACACCUACAUAGACAUGUUCAUCGAGUACAAGUCCCACCUCUUCUUUCUCACAGGGUAAUUAGAAAGAUUCCAGCUCCCCCUGUUGUGAAAACAGCGUCCGUAGAAUCCGAUAAGCAUUUGAUCGGAAAAGCGGAGACGUUUGUACGUUACUCAAGUCCUUCUAUUCCGAGAUACAACACUCCCUGGGUAAAGCAUUCAUCAUCUUACCAGGAUUAUGGGCACGUAGGUUCUCCUUCCAUCUAUGACCGGCAAGUAGCUGGCGGAGUAUCUGGAAUUUAUGACGAAGAGGUUUCCUUGCCUGUACUUUCUUCUGCUGCAGGAAGUAUAGAUAGUUCUGUUGCUCCAAUCCCUGACUACCCAGUCGCGCAAGCCCCCCUAGAUAGUUCUUCUGUUGCUCCAAUCCCUGACUACCCAUUCGCGCAAGCCCCCCUUCCACAGCUAUCUUCCUCAACCACUGGAGCCGACAAGCAUUUGAUCGGAAAAUCAGAAACAUUUGUACGAUAUUACAGUCCAACAAUUGAUAGAUUCAAUACUCCCUGGAAAAAGGUUGCAUCCAGCUACAGAGACUAUGGGCAUGUUAACAUUCCUCCCGUUUAUGACCGACAAGUACUUGGUGCAGGACCUGGAAUUUACGAUGACGAGUUAUCUCUAAAUACCUUGCCUUAUGGCGCGGGCGGUUUAGGCAGUUUUUCAUAUGGUCCAAAUGAUGGCGGUUUCGUUGCUGGCGGUGGUAUUGAUGGCGGUUUCGUUGCUGGCGGUGGUGUGGAUGGCGGUUUCGUUGCCGGCGGUGGUGUGGAUGGUGGUUUCGUUACCGGCGGUGGUGUGGAUGGCGGUUUCUAUGCUGGUGGUGGUUCCGUGGAUGGCGGUUAUUCGGCCUAUUCUGGCGGAGGACUGAGUACUUACGGUGCAAACUAUGGACCCGGGGCCCAGACAACACUACGCCGAGAUGUUUUCUAAAGCAAGUCUGACUAUACAUUACUACUUGAUAAAAGGAAAAUGAGGGAGGGAUAGAGACAUUAAAAUAGGACAGAAAAGGACCAUGUGAUACCUGAAAAGUCAACACAUUUUGAAGUUUUAUACAAUAAUUAUUAUUAAAAUGAAAAUUUAGGGAA
Molecule: RNA transcript, 1440 nt
Organism: Saccostrea echinata
Lineage: Eukaryota; Metazoa; Mollusca; Bivalvia; Ostreida; Ostreidae
Exons: 4
Source: RefSeq, a predicted model, not a curated record